Molecule: non-coding RNA, 105 nt
Filed under: Neisseria gonorrhoeae
Lineage: Bacteria; Pseudomonadati; Pseudomonadota; Betaproteobacteria; Neisseriales; Neisseriaceae
Also listed under: 1 other name
Description: TPP sequence
Rfam family: TPP riboswitch aptamer (THI element)
About the family: Vitamin B(1) in its active form thiamin pyrophosphate (TPP) is an essential coenzyme that is synthesised by coupling of pyrimidine and thiazole moieties in bacteria. The previously detected thiamin-regulatory element, thi box was extended, resulting in a new, highly conserved RNA secondary structure, the THI element, which is widely distributed in eubacteria and also occurs in some archaea.
Source: RNAcentral
GCCUUCUUGUCGGAGUGCCGCCCGCCGGGCGGCUGAGAUUGCGAAAGCAAAAUCCGUAGAACCUGUCGGGGUAAUGCCUGCGUAGGAAACAAAACCUCCCCGCCC